This 525-nucleotide ribosomal RNA is filed under the name uncultured eukaryote. Its description in RNAcentral is "bacterial SSU rRNA". It matches the Rfam family "Eukaryotic small subunit ribosomal RNA", at positions 1137 to 1673 of the family's 1831-position model. The record is from RNAcentral.
CCGAAACUUAAAGGAAUUGACGGAAGGGCACCACCAGGAGUGGAAUCUGCGGCUAAUUGACUCAACGCGGGAAAACUCACCAGGUCAGGACACGGUAAGGAUUGACGGACUGAAGGCUCUUUCUCGAUUCCGUGGAAAGUGGUGCAUGGCCGUUUUUGGUUGGUGGAUCGAUCCGUCUGGUUAAUUCCGUUAACGAACGAGACCUCGGCACUCCGAAUAGCGCGGCGGACGUCGCGGCCUCCGGGCCGUCUUCCGCACGAGCUUCUUAGAGGGACCGUCCCCCGCCGGGGAAGGAGGUGCGAGGCAACGACAGGUCUGUGAUGCCCUUAGAUGUUCUGGGCCGCACGCGCAUUACACUGACGCGUCCAACGGGUGACUCCCGACCCGAAGGGGCCGGGGAAUCCGCAAGGCGCGUCGUGAUGGGGAUUGAACGUUGCAAUUGUUGUUCACGAACGAGGAAUUCCUAGUAGGCGCGGGUCAUCAACCCGCGCCGAUUACGUCCCCUGCCCUUUUGUACACACCGCG